UACGUAGGGUGCGAGCGUUGUCCGGAAUUAUUGGGCGUAAAGAGCUCGUAGGCGGUCUGUCGCGUCGAUCGUGAAAACUAGGGGCUUAACCCUGAGCUUGCGGUCGAUACGGGCAUGACUGGAGUUCGGCAGGGGAGACUGGAAUUCCUGGUGUAGCGGUGAAAUGCGCAGAUAUCAGGAGGAACACCAGUGGCGAAGGCGGCUACCUGGACCAGCACUGACACUGAGGCACGAAAGCGUGGGGAGCAAACAGG
Molecule: ribosomal RNA, 254 nt
Filed under: uncultured bacterium
Lineage: Bacteria
Description: partial 16S ribosomal RNA
Rfam family: Bacterial small subunit ribosomal RNA
Source: RNAcentral